GUGGCCCAGGCCCACGGCGGGGUGGAGGUCGCUGGCUCCCGGGAGCCGGGGCUACGCUUGCAGCUUGCGGGGUGGGAACGGAGGCUUGCCCCGAAGGGCCCGGGGCCGCGCCGGGCGGGUCCCGCAGGAAGUGGCUCCGAGCCGGGCCGGCCGCCCUCGUCGCCCGGAAGCCUGAGUGUGUCCCCGUCGCGGCCCCUGGGGCCUGGCGGCGGGGCGGGGGCGCUAGGGCCGCUUUGCCCCUCCACCCGGCGGGGGCAGGGGCUUCCCCGCGACCUUCCCCAGGACGAUGUGGGGGAGCCGAGGCGCGGGCCCGGGGUCAGCCCGCAGCUCGGACCCCGGCCCCAGGGCCCCGCGGCUCAGGGACGCACCGAGGGCCUGGCCGGGCGGAGCCUCCGUCCUGCGCGCCCCCGCCACCCGCGCGCGCCGCCACCUGUCACCGGGUCCCCGCGCGCGCCCCCGUCCCCGUCCGCCCUCCGCGCGCGCCGCCACCUGUCACCAGGUUCCCUCUCCCCCGCGCCCCGCCCACCCGCCCCCUGGGCGCGCCCGGGCCUCCGCACGCGCCUCUCCCGCAGCCGAGUCCCCGCCCAGUGCGCCCGCCCGCGACUCGCUUGUCUCUGCCCCCGGAGGGCGGGGCACCACGACGUGUGGGUCCCCUCGGGCAGUGGAGAGGACGGGAGCCGGUUGUGGCCGCGGGCACAGCCUCAGCGCAGCCCCUUCCUUGAGACACGGCGGGGGCGCAGCGAGCGGGGCGCGGGGGGAGCGGACACGCGAGGCUCUGGGUGCUCAGUAGCAGAUCAGACGGCGGGGGGGGGGGGAGGCGGGGGGUCGGGGGUCGCCUCCUGCCGCUUGCGCACGGAGCUGGAGCUUUCUAGGAACUGGGUGUGGGGGGGAUUCCGAAGGGCGGCCUGUGCCCGUGCAAGGCCCCGUGGGCUUGUUGCGUCCACCCUGGAGCAUGGGCCUGGGGUCAGGGUCGGGGUCAGGGCAGGCUCUAGCUGCAGAAACAGAGCAGAGGCUGCCAUCGGGGGCUUGGAGAGGCCGCAAGGCUGCUGGGGCCUCCGCUUCCUGCCUGGGUGCUGGAGGCAGUUCACCGGCUGCUGUGGGAGCCAGCCUGGGCAUUGGGCCCACAGGGCUCCCUCCAGGAGGGGCUGGCACGGUGGCUCAGGCACAUCCCGGAGACCGAGGCUCAGUGGGGCCAGGGUGCAGUCAGGACUUCCUACAGCUCCGUGGGCUCCGAGCCCAGGAUGCACCAUCACCCAAGGGUCUCGCGGGCCUGGGGGUGGGGGGGCGGGGGGUGAAGAGCGGGGCUGGGACGGGGGAAAGCCAGUACUGAAGAUGGCCCACUGGCCGGCCCCUGAGCCUGGGUAG
This 1365-nucleotide long non-coding RNA is filed under the name Canis lupus familiaris (dog). RNAcentral describes it as "lncRNA (ENSCAFG00030006733.1)". The record is from RNAcentral. Lineage: Eukaryota; Metazoa; Chordata; Mammalia; Carnivora; Canidae.